UUGGGUUUGAUACGUUGUUUGACUUUCGUCCCUGUUUACUUCGACUUAAUACGCAGGCAAUUCAUGGUGGUUCCCACAUUUACGUCAAAACACGUUGGUGGUACUGAAGAUAAUUUUUGCCUCGUAAUUAUUCCGAUUUAUACGUCUUUCUCAACUCUGAAACAUUUCGUAAAUUCUGCGGUAUAAUAUACGAAGCAGUGAAGUGAUGACGAAGUUUCGAAAGAACCAAACGAUAUUUACGUGAGGAAUAAACUUGUCAGUAUCGUUCGAUGGUAAGACGGUAGAUACGCUGCGUGAUGCACGCCUACAGUAACGAUCAAACAAUUCCCUAGUAAUCAUUGAAGUCCAAUGAUCGCUCGACUAUCUGAAAAAGCAAAAGGAACGGAUAACCGGUUAGAUCGAUUAACGUCUAGUGUCACGGUCAACUCGAAUCUGAAAUAGAACGAGGGUAACUAGAUGCAGCAGCAACAGCGCCUUGUCGUUCGGUCUUUGCUCUGUGACAUUAGAGCAAGCGGCAGCUGCUGCAGGAAUUUCCGAGACAAGAGACGCGCACUUGUCCGUCCGAUUUCUUCCCCUUGAGAAGAAGAGCCCUUGGCUCUUUCUUGGCACAAGUUUAGCAGACACCACGAACGGUAGAACGAUCCUCGUUCGUUUGUUUGUUUGUUGUAGCUACAAUUUGGCUGACUCGAUUCUCGGGAAAUCCGUUCCACCGCAACAGAAGUCAAUGAUACGAUGACUGCUCUUUGAAAUCUGUUGAAACCGGGGCAAAUGAACGAAUUGGAAUAAAAAAGACGAGAGAUCAACGAUCCAACGAAACGCUAUCCAAAAAGUUGCUAGGGAACGAUGCCAAGGAACAUUGUUGCAUAAUGCCAACGUCGUUUUCUUCUUCUCCUUCUUCUUCGCAGCUGUGGAGCACGGCGUGUGUGCAGGUACCUAUAUUAACCCGGGUUGUGGAUGAGAUGAGGCUGUAGGAUAUAAGUUAGAAAGCUCCCGUGCAAAGCAACUGGCCAGCUUGCGGAGAAGCUGGUUCACCGCGCUGUUCUGAACGUUUCAUUGAAUAUUACGCAGGCCGUAGAAGAUGGAUAGCGGUCGUAUAGUGACAAAUGUAAUCACCAUUUUGCUAGCAUCAAUUUUCAACCGCGAAAUGAAAGCUCUGCAAGCGCGCGUUUGAAAUAUGAUUCACGAGCGAACCCGUUUGCUGUGAAGAGAUCACCGGUACUUUGCGUCACGUCACAACUCUAUAAAUGCAAUGAGUGGUAAUAACAUGAAAUGUACAAUAAUACCUUGCACCUCUGCGUAACUGUUGUGUACAAGCUUGUGGGUUGAAUUACCAAGGAAAUUACCAGGGUGGGCACAGAUUUUUGUAAAAAUAAAAUUCCAUGACAUUUA
This 1389-nucleotide long non-coding RNA is filed under the name Neodiprion lecontei (redheaded pine sawfly). RNAcentral describes it as "uncharacterized LOC124293610". The record is from RNAcentral. Lineage: Eukaryota; Metazoa; Arthropoda; Insecta; Hymenoptera; Diprionidae.